GUUCGAGCGUCAUUGCAACCCUCAAGCACUGCUUGGUAUUGGAUGCCAUCAACUGUGGUGCAUCUCAAAAGUAUUGGCGGCAGCGUUCAGCUUCUAGUGUAGUAAUUUCUCGCUCUGGAGUUUUGAGUGCCUGUCUGCUAGAACCCCUAAUUAUUUAAAAGGUUGACCUCGGAUCAGGUAGGGAUACCCGCUGAACUUAA
RNAcentral lists this unclassified non-coding RNA (200 nucleotides) under soil metagenome. RNAcentral describes it as "partial contains internal transcribed spacer 2 and large subunit ribosomal RNA". The record is from RNAcentral.